RNAcentral lists this ribosomal RNA (400 nucleotides) under uncultured Bacillus sp. Its description in RNAcentral is "bacterial SSU rRNA". It matches the Rfam family "Bacterial small subunit ribosomal RNA", at positions 975 to 1375 of the family's 1533-position model. Lineage: Bacteria; Bacillati; Bacillota; Bacilli; Caryophanales; Bacillaceae. The record is from RNAcentral.
CAGGUCUUGACAUCUGAAUGACCGGUGCAGAGAUGUACCUUUCCUUCGGGACAUUCAAGACAGGUGGUGCAUGGUUGUCGUCAGCUCGUGUCGUGAGAUGUUGGGUUAAGUCCCGCAACGAGCGCAACCCUUGAUCUUAGUUGCCAGCACUUCGGGUGGGCACUCUAAGGUGACUGCCGGUGACAAACCGGAGGAAGGUGGGGAUGACGUCAAAUCAUCAUGCCCCUUAUGACCUGGGCUACACACGUACUACAAUGGCCGGUACAACGGGCUGUGAAGCCGCGAGGUGGAACGAAUCCUAAAAAGCCGGUCUCAGUUCGGAUUGCAGGCUGCAACUCGCCUGCAUGAAGUCGGAAUUGCUAGUAAUCGCGGAUCAGCAUGCCGCGGUGAAUACGUUCCC